AGUCGCGGGGCAGCGGGGGAUGCAGCAAUACAUUCUGCCGGCGACCGGCGCAAGGGUGCGUAACGCGUGAGCAACAUGCCCGUCUCAGGGGGAUAACCGGUGGAAACGCCGCCUAAUACCCCAUGGCGAUAUAUUGAGGCAUCUUGAUAUAUCUAAAGCUCCGGCGGAGACGGAUUGGCUCGCGUGACAUUAGCUGGACGGCGGGGUAACGGCCCACCGUGGCUACGAUGUCUAGGGGUUCUGAGAGGAAGGUCCCCCACACUGGAACUGAGACACGGUCCAGACUCCUACGGGAGGCAGCAGUGAGGAAUAUUGGUCAAUGGGCGGGAGCCUGAACCAGCCAUGCCGCGUGAAGGCGAGUGCCCUACGGGCGUUAAACUUCUUUUGUGCGGGAGCAAUAAGGGCCACGCGUGGCCCGAUGAGAGUACCGCACGAAUAAGCAUCGGCUAACUCCGUGCCAGCAGCCGCGGUAAUACGGGGGAUGCGAGCGUUAUCCGGAUUUAUUGGGUUUAAAGGGUGCGUAGGCGGCGCUUCAGGUCAGCGGUGAAAUACCGGGGCUCAACCCCGGGGCUGCCGUUGAAACCGGAGCGCUAGAAUUCCGAUGCCGUCGGAGGAAUGUGUGGUGUAGCGGUGAAAUGCAUAGAUAUCACACAGAACACCGAUUGCGAAGGCAUCUGACGAAUCGGAGAUUGACGCUGAUGCACGAAAGCGUGGGUAUCGAACAGGAUUAGAUACCCUGGUAGUCCACGCUGUAAACGAUGAUGACUAGCCGUCGGCGAUACAGUGUCGGUGGUCAAGCGAAAGCGAUAAGUCAUCCACCUGGGGAGUACGGCCGCAAGGCUGAAACUCAAAGGAAUUGACGGGGGCC
Molecule: ribosomal RNA, 868 nt
Filed under: uncultured bacterium
Lineage: Bacteria
Description: bacterial SSU rRNA
Rfam family: Bacterial small subunit ribosomal RNA
Source: RNAcentral